GAUGAAGAACGUAGCGAAAUGCGAUAAGUAAUGUGAAUUGCAGAAUUCAGUGAAUCAUCGAAUCUUUGAACGCACAUUGCGCCCGCCAGUAUUCUGGCGGGCAUGCCUGUUCGACCGUCAUUUCAACCCUCAAGCCCCCGGGCUUGGUGUUGGGGAUCGGCGUGCCCUCGCGGCGCGCCGUCCCCUAAAUCUAGUGGCGGUCUCGCUGUAGCUUCCUCUGCGUAGUAGCAACACUCGCACUGGAUCGCAGCGCGGCCACGCCGUUAAACCCCCACUUCUGAAAGUUUGACCUCGGAUCAGGUAGGAAUACCCGCUGAACUUAAGCAUAUCAAUAAGCGGAGGA
RNAcentral lists this unclassified non-coding RNA (343 nucleotides) under soil metagenome. Its description in RNAcentral is "partial contains 5.8S ribosomal RNA, internal transcribed spacer 2, and large subunit ribosomal RNA". The stretch from base 1 to 120 matches the Rfam family "5.8S ribosomal RNA", at positions 35 to 154 of the family's 154-position model. The record is from RNAcentral.